RNAcentral lists this ribosomal RNA (500 nucleotides) under uncultured bacterium. Its description in RNAcentral is "bacterial SSU rRNA". It matches the Rfam family "Bacterial small subunit ribosomal RNA", at positions 8 to 518 of the family's 1533-position model. The record is from RNAcentral.
AGAGUUUGAUUAUGGCUCAGGAUGAACGCUGGCGGCGUGCUUAACACAUGCAAGUCGAACGGAGUUACAUGAAACCUAGUGAUUGUAAACUUAGUGGCGGACGGGUGAGUAACGCGUGGGUAACCUGCCUUAUCCAGGGGGAUAACAGUGAGAAAUUACUGCUAAUACCGCAUAAGCGCACAGAAUCGCAUGAUACAGUGUGAAAAAGAUUUAUCGGGAUAAGAUGGACCCGCGUCUGAUUAGCUAGUUGGUGAGGUAACGGCCCACCAAGGCGACGAUCAGUAGCCGGCCUGAGAGGGUGAACGGCCACAUUGGGACUGAGACACGGCCCAAACUCCUACGGGAGGCAGCAGUGGGGAAUAUUGCACAAUGGGGGAAACCCUGAUGCAAGCGACGCCGCGUGAGUGAUGAAGUAUUUCGGUAUGUAAAGCUCUAUCAGCAGGGAAGAAAAUGACGGUACCUGACUAAGAAGCCCCGGCUAACUACGUGCCAGCAGCAGC